CAGUAGCCGCGGUAAUACGUAGGGUGCAAGCGUUAUCCGGAAUUAUUGGGCGUAAAGAGCUCGUAGGCGGUUUGUCGCGUCUGCUGUGAAAACUGGAGGCUCAACCUCCAGCCUGCAGUGGGUACGGGCAGACUAGAGUGCGGUAGGGGAGAUUGAAUUCCUGGUGUAGCGGUGGAAUGCGCAGAUAUCAGGGGGAACACCGAUGGCGAAGGCAGAUCUCUGGGCCGUAACUGACGCUGAGGAGCGAAAGCGUGGGGAGCGAACAGGAUUAGAUACCCCGGUAGUCCCUGUCUCUUAUACA
This 301-nucleotide ribosomal RNA is filed under the name uncultured bacterium. RNAcentral describes it as "partial 16S ribosomal RNA". It matches the Rfam family "Bacterial small subunit ribosomal RNA", at positions 509 to 808 of the family's 1533-position model. The record is from RNAcentral.